CUUGUAAUUGCGUUGACCAUCAUCUACACGGUGAGGUAGUUCAGCAGCAGGUGAAACUGAUAACUUGUAGUUGCGUUGACCAUCAUCUGCACGGUGAGGUAGUUCAGCCAUAGGUGAAACUGAUGACUUGUAGUUGCGUUGACCAGCAUCUAUACGGUGAGGUAGUUCAUUAGUGGCAGGUAAAGCUGAUAACUUGUAGUUGCGUUGGCCAUCAUCUACACGGUGAGGUAGUUCAGCCACAGGUGAAACUGAUGACUUGUAGUUGCGUUGACCAGCAUCCGUACGGUGAGGUAGUUCAUUAGUGGCAGGUAAAGCUGAUAACUUGUAGUUGCGUUGACCAUCAUCUACACGGUGAGGUAGUUCAGCCACAGGUGAAACUGAUGACUUGUAGUUGCGUUGACCAGCAUCCGUANGGUGAGGUAGUUCAUUAGUGGCAGGUAAAGCUGAUAACUUGUAGUUGCGUUGACCAUCAUCUACACGGUGAGAUAGUUCAGCCAUAGGUGAAACUGAUGACUUGUAGUUGCGUUGACCAGCAUCCGUANGGUGAGGUAGUUCAUUAGUGGCAGGUAAAGCUGAUAACUUGUAGUUGCGUUGNCCAUCAUCUACACGGUGAGNUAGUUCAGCCANAGGUGAAACUGAUGACUUGUAGUUGCGUUGACCAGCAUCCGUACGGUGAGGUAGUUCAUUAGUGGCAGGUAAAGCUGAUAACUUGUAGUUGCGUUGGCCAUCAUCUACACGGUGAGGUAGUUCAGCCACAGGUGAAACUGAUGACUUGUAGUUGCGUUGACCAGCAUCCGUACGGUGAGGUAGUUCAUUAGUGGCAGGUAAAGCUGAUAACUUGUAGUUGCGUUGGCCAUCAUCUACACGGUGAG
This 872-nucleotide long non-coding RNA is filed under the name Oryza sativa (Asian cultivated rice). Its description in RNAcentral is "long non-coding RNA (OSAT_LNC001925)". Lineage: Eukaryota; Viridiplantae; Streptophyta; Magnoliopsida; Poales; Poaceae. The record is from RNAcentral.